RNAcentral lists this long non-coding RNA (5229 nucleotides) under Homo sapiens (human). Its description in RNAcentral is "HSALNT0037681". Lineage: Eukaryota; Metazoa; Chordata; Mammalia; Primates; Hominidae. The record is from RNAcentral.
CGCCAGGCUGGAGUGCAGUGGCAUGAUCUCGGCUCACUGCAGUCUCCGCCUUCUGAGUUCAAGCCUCAGCCUCCCAAGUAGCUCCGGGACUACAGGCGCAGGCCACCAUGCCCAGCUAAUUUCUGUAUUUUUAGUAGAGACAGGUUUUCACCAUGUUGGCCAGGAUGGUCUCAAUCUCUUGACCUCAUGAUCCGCCUGCCUCGGCCUCCCAAAGUGCUGUGAUUACAGGCGUGAGCCACUGCGCCCGGCCAAGAAGACACAACAGUCUUUAAUGUGUAUUUGAGUAACAACAAAGCAUCAAAAUAUAACUGCAAGUGGAAGUAGAUGAAUCAAUUAUAACAUGUGGAGGCUUCAACACCCCUCUCAGAAAUGAACAGAUUCAGCAGGCAUAAAAUCAUAAGGAUAUAGUUAAACUUAACAGAACCAUCAAUUACAUGAAUCUAAUUGACAUCUAGAGACUACUUCAUCCAAGAGCAGGUUACAUAUUCUCCAGCUCACAUGAAAUAUUCCCCAAGGUAGACCACAUUCUGGGCCAUAAAACAUACUUCCACAAGUAUAAAAGAAUAGAAAAAGUAGAAAUCAUACAAAGCAUGUAGCAUUUUCAUUAAAGAUAUUAGUAAAAUUGAUAAACCUUUAGUCAGGCUAAUCAAGAAAAAAGAAUAAAGACACAAAUUACUAAUAUUAGAAUAAAAGAAGAGUGAUCAAUAUUGACCCCAGGGAUGUUUAAAUGAAAUUUAAAGAGUAAUAAAGGAAUAUUUUAAACAACUCUAUGCCUAUAAAUUGGAUAACCUAGGUAAAAUGGACUAAUUUAUUGAAAGAAUCAUGCAAGGAUGAUCUGAGAAGGUCUACAUCUGUUUUAAAAAUUGAAUCCCUAAUUAAUAACCUUCCAGAACAGAAAGUACCAGGUGCAGUUGGUGUCACUGUUAAAUUCUAUCAAAUAUUUAAGAAAAAAUUGUACCAAUUCUCCAUAGUCUCGUCCAGAAAAUAGAAGCAGGAAACACUUCCUAACUCAUUCUAUGAGGCCAACAUUACCGUAAUACCAAAAACAGAUAAAGGCAUUACAUGAAAAGAUAACAACAAACUAAUAUCUUUCAUGAAUAUAGAAGUAAAAAUCCUCAACAAAAUGGUAGUAACUCAAGCCUAACAAAGUUAAAAGAAGAAAUAUACACCAUGACCAAGUGGGACUUAUUCCAGAUAUGCAAGCCUGUGUUAACAUUUGGAAAUCAGUUAAUCUAACCAAUUAUGUCAACAGAAUAACAAUAAAAGUCAUGAUUAUAUGAAUAGUUGCAGAAAAGAUACUUGACAAAAUUCAGUACCCAUUUAUGAUAGCUGUCGGCAAAUCAGGAUUGGGGGAGAACAUGGUCAACUUGGUAAAAAGCAUCUAUAAAAACCCUAAAGAUGGUCGGGCUCGGUGCCCCACGCCUGUAAUCCCAGCAUUUCAGGAGGCCGAGGCCGGCAGAUCACUUGAGGUCAGGAGCUCAAGACCAGCCUGGCCAACGUGGCAAAACCCCAUCUCUACUAAAACUACAAAAAAUUAGCUAGGAGUAGUGGUGGGCACCUGUAAUCCCAACUACUUGGGAGGCUGAGGCUGGAGAGUCACUUGAACCCAGGAGGCAGAGGUUGCAGUGAGCUGAGAUCACGCCACUGCACUCCAGCCUGGGCGACAGAGAAAACUCUGUCUCAAAAAACUAAAAAAUAAAAAACUCUAAAGCUAUCAUCAUACUUGAUGAGAGACUAGACGCUUUCACCCUAAGAUUAGAACAAAGGAAAUGUAUCUCCUCUCCCCACUACUAUUCAGCAUUGUAUUGGAAGUUUUAGCUAGAAGAAUAAGAUAAGAAGAGGAAGUAAAGGUGUAUUGAUUAACAAAAACAAAACACUUGUCUCUUUACAGAUGACAUGAUUGUCUAUGUAGAAAAUCCCAGAGUCUUGACAAAAGUACUUCUGGAACUGUUAAGUGAUUACAGUAAGGAUGCAGAUUACAAGGUUAUAUACAAAAGUCAAUUGCUUUCUAUAUACCACCAAUGAACAAUUGGAAUUUAAAAUUUAAAACACAAUUCCACAAAAAGGAAGUACUUAAAAAUCUUAAAAAAUAUACAAGAUAUAGGCCAGGGGAGGUGGCUCACACCUGUAAUCCCAGCACUUUGGGAGGCCGGGAUGGGCGGAUCACCUGAGGUCAGGAAUUUGAGACCAGCCUGGCCAACAUGGUGAAAUCCCGUCUCUACGAAAAAUAGAAAAUUAGCCGGGCAUGGUGGCAGGUGCCUGUAAUCCCAGCUAUUUGCGAGGCUGAGGCACAAGAAUUGCUUGUACCUGGGAGGCGGAGGUUGCAGUGAGCCGAGACCGUGCCAUUGCACUCCAGCCUGGGUGACAAGAGGGAAACUCCUUCUCAAAAAAACAAAAACAAAAACAAACAAACAAACUAUAUAUGUAUGAAUGAUAUAUAUGGGGAAGACUACAAAACUCUGAUAAAAAAUAAAGAUUUGAAUAAACAGAGAAGUAUUCCAUGUUCAUGAAUAGGAAGAUCCAAUAUUGUUAGGAUGUCAGUUAUUCCCAACUUAAUCUGUAGAUCCAAUACAAUCCUAAUAAAAAUCUCAGCAAGUUGUUUUGUGGAAUUAACAAAUUGAUUCUAAAGUUUAUAUAAAGAGGCAAAAGACCCAGAAUAGUCAACAUGGUAUUAAAGGAGAAUGAAGUCAGAGUACUGACACCAUCUGAUUUCAAGACUUACUCACUUAUCUCACUUAUAAGUGAGAACAUAACGCUAGAACAAUCAGGACAAUGUGGUAUUAGCAGAACAUUAGAUGAAUAGGUCAAUGGAAUAGAAUUGAAAGCCCAAAAAUAGAUGCCAACAGGUAUAGUCAACUGAUAUUUGCAAAGGAGCAAAGACAAUUUAAUACAGAAAUAAAUGAUGCUGAAAUGAUUGGACAUCUACAUUAAAAAAAAUCUAGCCAGGCAUGGUGGCUCACACCUGUAAUCCCAAUGCUUUGGGAGGCGGAGAUGGGAGAAUCACUUGAGCUCAGGAGGUCAAGACCAGCCUGUGCAACAUAGAGAGACCCCCUGUCUACAAAAAAUUUAAAAAUUAGCUGAGUGUGGUGGCUAGUGCCUGUAGUCUCAGCUACUCGGGAAGCUGAGGUGGGAGGAUGGCUUGAACCUGGGAGGCUGACGCUGCAGUAAGCCAUGAUGGCAUCACUGCACUACAGCCUGGGUGGCAGAGCAAGACCCCAUCUCAAAAAAUAAUAAAAAUCUAGACAUAGACCUUACACGUUUCACAAAAAUUAACUCAAAGUGUAUCAAUGACUUCAAUGUAAAAUGCAAAAUGAUAAAACUUUAAAAAUAUAACAUUGAAGAAAAUCUAGGUAAUCAUGGGUUUGGCUGACUUUUUAGGUAUGAAACCAAAAGCAAUAUCCAUAAAAGAAAAAUCGACAAUUGGACUUUGCUAAAAAUAACAAUUGCUGUUCUGUGAAAGACACUAUUAAGAGAAUGAGAAGACAAGCCACAGGUUGAAAGAAAAUAUUUGCAAAGAUAUAUCUGAUAAAGGACUGUUAUCCAAAAUAUACAAAGAACUCUUUUUUUCUAUUUUUCUUUUUGCAACUUUUAGUUUUGAUUCAGCGGAUAUUUGUGCAGAUUUGCUACCUGGGUAUAUUGUGUGAUGCUGAUGUUUGGGGUAUGAAUGAUCCUGUCACUCAGGUGUCAAGCAUAGUACCCAAUAGUUUUUCAACCCUUGCCACCUCCCAUCCCCCUCAUUUACUAGUCCCCAGUGUCUAUUGCCAUCUUUACGUCCAUGAGUACCCAAUGUUUAGCUCCCACUUAUAAGUGAGAAUAUGUGGCAGUAGAUUUUCUGUUCCUGGGUUUAUUCACUUAGGAUGAUGGACUGCAGUUGCAUCCAUGCUGUUGCAGAGCAUAGGAUUUUGUUCCUUUUUAUGGCUGCAUAGUAUUCCAUGGUAUAUAUGUACCAUGUAUUCUUUAUCAAAUCCACCAUUGAUGGGCACCUAAGUUGAUUCUAUGUCUUUGCUUUUGUGAAUAGUGCUAUGAUGAACAUGUGAGUGCAAGUGUCUUUUUGGUAGAACAAUUUUUCUUUUGGAUAUAUAUCCAAUAAUGGGAUUUCUGGGUUGAAUGGUAGUUCUAAGUUCUUUGAGAAAUCUCCAAACUGCUUUCCACAGUGGCUGAGCUAAUUUACAUUCCCAACAAUACUGUAUAAGCAUUCUCUUUUCUCUGCAGUCUUGUCAGCAUCUGUUGUUUUUUGACUUUGUAAUAAUAGCCAUUCUUACUAGCGUGAGAUGUUUUCUCAUUGUGGUUUUGAUUUGCAUUUCUUUGAUGAAUUAGUGAUGUUGAGCAUCUUUUCAUAUAUUUCUUAGGCACUUAUAUGUUUUCUUUUGAGAAAUUUUUUUUUUUUUUUGCUUGUUGAUUUGUUUACAUUCCUUAUAGAUUCUGGAUGUAGACCUUUGUCAGACGUGUAGUUUGCGAAUAGUUUCUCCCAUUCUGUGGCUGUUUACUCCAAAUUAUACAAAGAAUUCUUAAUAGCCAAUAAUAAUAAAAUAAAUGAUCUAAUUAACAAGUAAGUAAGAGAUCUGAAUAGAUAUCUCACCAAAGUAGAUAUACAAAUGGCAAAUAAUUAAUUGUAUGAAAAGAUGCUCAACAUCAUAUGUCACCAGGGAACUGGAAAUUAAAACAACAAUUACAUAUCACUAAACACCGAUUAGAAUGGCUAAAAUCCAGAACACUGAUAACAUCGAAUGCUGGUGAGAAUGUGGAGCAACAGGAAUUCUCACUCAUUGCUGGUGGAAAAGCAAAGCAGCACCAUUACUUUGGAAGACUUUGGCUGUUUCUUACAAAACUAAACAUACUCUUACUAUACAAUCUACUAAUCAAGCUCUUUGAUAUUUAUCCAAAGAAGUUGUAAAUUUAUGUCCCCACCAAAAAUGCACAUGAGUGCGUAUAGCAGCUUUAUUCACAAUUGUCUCAAACUGGAAGCAGUAGGUGAAUGGAUAAACAAUCUGUGGUAUAUCUAUAUCAUGGAAUAUUAUUCAGCAAUAAAAGGAUGUGAACUAUAUAUAUUUUUUCCGUUUUGUUUGUUUGUUUUUGUUUUUGUUUUUUGAGACAAGGUCUGGUUCUAUUGCCCGGGCUGGAGUGUGGUGGUGUGAUCUUGGCUCACUGCAAUCUUUGCCUCCCAGGCUGAAGUUUUUCUCCCACCUCAGCCUCCCAAGUACCUGGUACUACAGGCAUGUACUAUUAUGC